AUAAUUAGUUAAUUAUUCCGUUUAUAAUUUUAAGAAAAGAAGUGUAACAUUCCGUUUAUGUGAAUUACUCUGAUUAAUUAAAUGAAAUUUUUAUGUUGGGAAAACGGGGUGUUACAGCAUCCACUUGUUUACAUGAACUAUAUGAAAAAAUCCAUCAUAUAACUAAAAUACAAACACAUGUUACAAUCACACCUUUUUCACAAAAACUAAAGAUCGUUCUAGAGAUAAUAUAGUGACAAGUUAAUGUAAUAUAGUGACAAGUUAAUGUUUUCCUAUGUUUGUUAUGAUAGGCAUACUAACAAAAAAUUAUAUGCACUUAGCCAUAUUUUAACAAAGACGUAACCACAUUUUUUUCUUCAAAUUUUUAGCACUUGACCAUUUUUUAACAAAAGUGUGACCACAAUUCUUUUGAUUAAGAGUUUGACACUAACUCUCUACGUGAUAUCAUUUAGAGGAACAACCAAAGACAGACUAAAUAAUUUGGGGAAACCUUAUGAUUGUUUACUAACAAUAAUACAAUGAUAAAUGAAUGUUCUUCUAUGUAUAACAUGUUUAACAUGUUUCAAACAAACUAACUUAAAAUAGAUUCACUUAACCAACACAAAUUACCAUCCCAAACACAUAUGCAAUUCCCAUCAAGUGCAAGCAUCAACAUAAUAAGAGCCUCUGAAACUAUAUGUUGCAAAUAUCAUAUAGACAAGGAGCUAAAAUGAGGCAAUCCGAAAAUAGCUACAAAGAUUUUAAAAACAUUCUGAACUGAACAUCUUAAUACUAUGAUUGAGAGGAAAAUAAAUUAGUAAAAACUUAUGGACAAUAUUAGUAAAAAUCAUACAUAAAAUGAGAAGCAAAAUAAAUUGAGAGGAAGACUAACCUACAGUUGAUAUAGUAUUAGUAAAACUCAUACCAUAGUAUUGGGAAGUUUAGGGAGGUAGACCCUUUCAAAUGAAUUGAGCCACCCAUUAAGAAGAUUGAAAGUUUUCCCUUGUUAAGUGGCAUAUGUUACGGUGUUAGUAAAACUUACAAAUGAUAGGUAAAGUUUCAAAGCUUUUCUUGAUACUUUAACUCAUCAUUCAUUAACAUGAAUUUUUAGCGCCAUUAAAAAUGCUUUCUCAAACUAAAAAUAUCACUUUAUUUUCACUUAGCUAAUUUUUAUAUUUUCACCGUUUAUAUACAUCUAUUUGAAACUAAAAAUGGGACAUGGUAUUGACACACAAAGAUUGUCAUACAAAUAUUUGAAACUAAAAAUGGGACAUGAUAUUGACACACAAAGAUUGUCAUGAACUAACCGAACAACAAAAGAAAUAUUAAAAAAAUGGAAGAAUCAUACACAAACUAAAUUGAAGUUAUUAGAAAUCAAAGGGAUUCUGCACCAAUGUGAUUCUUUCAAAAUUAGAAAUCAAAUUACAAAUUUACAAUUCAAUCUUCUCACAAACACAUAUCAACAUGUGUAGUCGUAUAUAAACAACAGUGAAUCCCAAAUUGUGUUCUCAAAUGAAACGAAAAAACACUGAUUCUAAAUGAAUCUCACAGAAAAUGAAAAAACAAUGACAAUGAGGUAAAUCUCAAACAAAAACAUAAUUGAGAAUAUUAGGAUUUUCAAUCCUGAAGAAAACACUGCAAAAUUAAACUGAAGAAAUCAUACUGGUUUGUGAAGAGGGAGAAGCUGAUGAAUAUGUGCGUUGAGAGGUUUGGAUCUCGUUUUCUUCGGCUUUAGAGUGUGGCGGCGAUGACGAAUCAACACAAACUUGAUAUUAAAUCGUCGGCAUGGUGGAAUUUGUGUGUUGCAGAUGGUGGUGAGAGAGAUCUGUUUUGGGUUUAGAGAGAGAAAGGAGAAGAGGACAAUGAAAGAGAAAAUGGUAAAAUAUCUAAAAUAUCCCUGCCACAUAAGGGGUGUUGACAAGUG
This 1903-nucleotide long non-coding RNA is filed under the name Medicago truncatula (barrel medic). RNAcentral describes it as "long non-coding RNA (MTRU_LNC004214)". Lineage: Eukaryota; Viridiplantae; Streptophyta; Magnoliopsida; Fabales; Fabaceae. The record is from RNAcentral.